This 303-nucleotide unclassified non-coding RNA is filed under the name Hevea brasiliensis (rubber tree). Lineage: Eukaryota; Viridiplantae; Streptophyta; Magnoliopsida; Malpighiales; Euphorbiaceae. The record is from RNAcentral.
AUUAAAUCUAAGGCAUUCCGCCGCAUUACUGAGUUACUACAAAUCUUCAGGCCUCUAAAUUUAUCUAGAGAUAAGCCAGGCAUGAUCCCAUGUAGGGCAAUGUACUGAACUCAAAAAUAAACUCAUUCUAAUUAUAAAAGUGACAGAAAAACAAAUUCCUAAAUAAGGAGGUGAUGCGAAGAAAACUUCGGUACCUUCAACUCUCAUGGCAAGAACAACCGUCACCCUACUGACUCUUUAUCUUCUCGGCGUGAAUCGCUGCAGUGAUUUUCUUCCAGCACCUGAUUGCGAUGAUUGUUGGGA